UUGCUGGGACGUAAGUUUCUCAGACUGAAAGGAAAAUUAAUGUGACUUUUCUUCAUAGAGAACUUUAAUUUUAUUUGUGGUGUGUUUGAUUCUGGAGCCCAUGAACAUCUGUGUUUAGGUGGAAGAGAAUCUGCAAUGUUACUGGUAAUACAUGAAACUUACAUGACUGAAAUCAUACAAUGAAAUUUUGAAGAUACAUAACACAUAAUUUCUGCCCUGUUGCUGUAUACAGAUGACUGUGCAACACUAGA
Molecule: long non-coding RNA, 251 nt
Organism: Serinus canaria (Common canary)
Lineage: Eukaryota; Metazoa; Chordata; Aves; Passeriformes; Fringillidae
Exons: 3
Source: RefSeq, a predicted model, not a curated record